UGGGGAAUAUUGGACAAUGGGCGAAAGCCUGAUCCAGCCAUGCCGCGUGUGUGAAGAAGGUCUUCGGAUUGUAAAGCACUUUAAGUUGGGAGGAAGGGCAGUUACCUAAUACGUGAUUGUUUUGACGUUACCGACAGAAUAAGCACCGGCUAACUCUGUGCCAGCAGCCGCGGUAAUACAGAGGGUGCAAGCGUUAAUCGGAAUUACUGGACGUAAAGCGCGCGUAGGUGGUUUGUUAAGUUGGAUGUGAAAUCCCCGGGCUCAACCUGGGAACUGCAUUCAAAACUGACUGACUAGAGUAUGGUAGAGGGUGGUGGAAUUUCCUGUGUAGCGGUGAAAUGCGUAGAUAUAGGAAGGAACACCAGUGGCGAAGGCGACCACCUGGACUAAUACUGACACUGAGGUGCGAAAGCGUGGGGAGCAAACA
RNAcentral lists this ribosomal RNA (427 nucleotides) under uncultured bacterium. RNAcentral's name for it is "partial 16S ribosomal RNA". It matches the Rfam family "Bacterial small subunit ribosomal RNA", at positions 355 to 774 of the family's 1533-position model. The record is from RNAcentral.